UACAGAGGGUGCGAGCGUUAAUCGGAAUUACUGGGCGUAAAGGGCGCGUAGGCGGUAAUGUAAGUCAGAUGUGAAAGACCUUGGCUCAACCAGGGAACUGCAUUUGAAACUGCAUAACUAGAGUAUGGUAGAGGAAAGUGGAAUUUCCGGUGUAGCGGUGAAAUGCGUAGAUACCGGAAGGAACAUCAGUGGCGAAGGCGACUUUCUGGACCAAUACUGACGCUGAGGCGCGAAAGCGUGGGUAGCAAACAGG
This 253-nucleotide ribosomal RNA is filed under the name uncultured bacterium. RNAcentral describes it as "partial 16S ribosomal RNA". It matches the Rfam family "Bacterial small subunit ribosomal RNA", at positions 524 to 776 of the family's 1533-position model. The record is from RNAcentral.